This is a long non-coding RNA of Cyprinus carpio (common carp), 676 nucleotides long. RefSeq lists it as uncharacterized. NCBI's taxonomy places the organism in Eukaryota, Metazoa, Chordata, Actinopteri, Cypriniformes, Cyprinidae. The transcript has 4 exons. The record is from RefSeq and is a predicted model, not a curated record.
CGAAACCACAAAUGUUGCUCUUUUCUGCCGUCUUUUUUUUUUGCGGUUCUAAAACUUUUUUUUGCGAGUUGAAAAGUUUUGCUUGCGAGUUAAGCUGUCUCUCAGUGGGCAGUCUCUACCCACCAGGAUGAAAGGCCUUUUCCUAUUGGUCACUCUCGAUUGAAGUCACAGGUUGACCACGCCCACUCAGUUUACCCGGAAUCCGCUGCACUGCCGCCGCAGUCUGACAGAAGAGCGAGCGAGGGUGCAUCAUGACGAGCAACAGGUCGUGUACUGGGAAGAUUUGGUGUUGAUGGAGGGGGCAACAUCUUCAAGGCAAAACCUUAGACCUGAUGCAACAUCAUCCAGUGUCAAAAUCACCCUUUAGGAGGCACUUGAAGACCAGUGCCCAAUAUGCACAGGAACAUUUCCAGUGUCAGAAGUAGACCUGCCAUGCCAGCUUUUGUGGAGACAGUGAGGAGGAUGUGAUUCGUCAUGCAGCAGCACAGAUAAACACCACAAAGACAUCUGAAGUCUGUCACGAGAUAACACGUCUGAAGUUGUGGAAACAUAAAAAACCAGGAAUUCCAGUCAAUCCCCUGAAAAUCACCUUCCUUGGAGAGCCUGUAAAAAUAAAUAAAUAAAAUUAUAUGUAUAUAAAGCUAAAAACAAUAAAGCAAAAUGUACAGCUCCAUUA